UACGUAGGGGGCUAGCGUUGUUCGGAUUUACUGGGCGUAAAGCGCGCGUAGGCGGGUCGGUAAGUCGGGGGUGAAAUCCUGGAGCUCAACUCCAGAACUGCCUUCGAUACUGGCGACCUAGAGUCCGGAAGAGGUGAGUGGAACUCCUAGUGUAGAGGUGGAAUUCGUAGAUAUUAGGAAGAACACCAGUGGCGAAGGCGGCUCACUGGUCCGGUACUGACGCUGAGGUGCGAAAGCGUGGGGAGCAAACAGG
Molecule: ribosomal RNA, 253 nt
Filed under: uncultured bacterium
Lineage: Bacteria
Description: partial 16S ribosomal RNA
Rfam family: Bacterial small subunit ribosomal RNA
Source: RNAcentral